CAGCCGCCGCGGGAAUACGAAGGGUGCAAGCGUUACUCGGAAUUACUGGGCGUAAAGCGUGCGUAGGUGGUUGUUUAAGUCUGCUGUGAAAGCCCUGGGCUCAACCUGGGAAUUGCAGUGGAUACUGGGCGACUAGAGUAAGGUAGAGGAUAGUGGAAUUUCCGGUGUAGCAGUGAAAUGCGCAGAGAUCGGAAGGAACAUCUGUGGCGAAGGCGACUAUCUGGGCCAUUACUGACACUGAGGCACGAAAGCGUGGGGAGCAAACAGGAUUAGAUACCCCAGUAGUCCCUGUCUCUUAUAC
RNAcentral lists this ribosomal RNA (301 nucleotides) under uncultured bacterium. Its description in RNAcentral is "partial 16S ribosomal RNA". It matches the Rfam family "Bacterial small subunit ribosomal RNA", at positions 509 to 807 of the family's 1533-position model. The record is from RNAcentral.